Long non-coding RNA from Hordeum vulgare subsp. vulgare (domesticated barley), 274 nucleotides. RefSeq lists it as uncharacterized. The transcript has 2 exons. NCBI's taxonomy places the organism in Eukaryota, Viridiplantae, Streptophyta, Magnoliopsida, Poales, Poaceae. The record is from RefSeq and is a predicted model, not a curated record.
AUGAACUGACUUUGAUCAGUCUCUCCAAGUUUGCCACGGUUACACGUGCAUGCGGCAACGGUUUGCACACACACAGCAACUGUGCAGGUUACCGUGUCCCAGAAAUAACACCACCUUCACCCCCGGCAAGUCCCUAGGCCUUCAAUGUGAGACCAUUCUCCUAAUAGAGAAAUUAUUGAAUAAAGCAAAUAAUGAUGUGAGAUGAAUGGAUUUGCAUGUUGUAUUUUACUUUUUUAAUGUGUAAUAAAAAACUGGGCAUAGCCUCAUCACUGAU